This 2099-nucleotide long non-coding RNA is filed under the name Pan troglodytes (chimpanzee). RNAcentral describes it as "long non-coding RNA NONPTRT005819". The record is from RNAcentral. Lineage: Eukaryota; Metazoa; Chordata; Mammalia; Primates; Hominidae.
GGUUGGCAAGGCCCUCACCCUCCUGCCUUUGCUCCUACAGGAAGUGCGUGAGCGUGUGCCCCUUGGGCUACUUUGGGGACACAGCAGCAAGACGCUGUCGCCGGUGCCACAAGGGGUGUGAGAGCUGCUCCGGCAGAGCUGCGACGCAGUGCCUGUCUUGCCGCCGCGGGUUCUAUCACCACCAGGAGAUGAACACCUGUGUGACCCUCUGUCCUGCAGGAUUUUAUGCUGAUGAAAGUCAGAAAAAUUGCCUUAAAUGCCACCCAAGCUGUAAAAAGUGCGUGGAUGAACCUGAGAAAUGUACUGUCUGUAAAGAAGGAUUCAGCCUUGCACGGGGCAGCUGCAUUCCUGACUGCGAGCCAGGCACCUACUUUGACUCAGAGCUGAUCAGAUGUGGGGAAUGCCAUCACACCUGCGGAACCUGCGUGGGGCCAGGCAGAGAAGAGUGCAUUCACUGUGCGAAAAACUUCCACUUCCACGACUGGAAGUGUGUGCCAGCCUGUGGUGAGGGGUUCUACCCAGAGGAGAUGCCGGGCUUGCCCCACAAAGUGUGUCGAAGGUGUGGUGAGAACUGCUUGAGCUGUGCAGGCUCCAGCAGGAACUGUAGCAGGUGUAAGACGGGCUUCACACAGCUGGGGACCUCCUGCAUCACCAACCACACGUGCAGCAACGCUGACGAGACAUUCUGCGAGAUGGUGAAGUCCAACCGGCUGUGCGAACGGAAGCUCUUCAUUCAGUUCUGCUGCCGCACGUGCCUCCUGGCCGGGUAAGGGUGUCUAGCUGCCCACAGAGGGCAGGCACUCCCAUCCAUCCAUCCGUCCACUUUCCUCCAGACUGUCGGCCAGAGUCUGUUUCAGGAGCGGCGCCCUGCACCUGACAGCUUUAUCUCGCCAGGAGCAGCAUCUCUGGGCACCCAAGCCAGGUGGGUGGUGGCUCUUAAGGAGGUGUUCCUACAAUGGUGACAUCCUCUCAAAUGCUGCUUGUUGGCUCCAGUCUUCUGACAAACUGUAACAGGAACAAAAUGAAUUCUGGGAAUCCACAGCUCUGGCUUUGGAGCAGCUUCUGGGACCAUAAGUUUACUGAAUCUUCAAGACCAAAGCAGAAAAGAAAGGCGCUUGGCAUCACACAUCACUCUUCUCCCCGUGCUUUUCUGCGGCUGUGUAGUAAAUCUCCCCGGCCCAGCUGGCAAACCCUGGGCCAUCCUCACAUGUGACAAAGGGCCAGCAGUCUACCUGCUCGUUGCCUGCCACUGAGCAGUCUGGGCACGGUUUGGUCAGACUAUAAAUAAGAUAGGUUUGAGGGCAUAAAAUGUAUGACCACUGGGGCCGGAGUAUCUAUUUCUACAUAGUCAGCUACUUCUGAAACUGCAGCAGUGGCUUAGAAAGUCCAAUUCCAAAGCCAGACCAGAAGAUUCUAUCCCCGCAGCAUUCUCCUUUGAGCAAGCCGAGCUCUCCUUGUUACCGUGUUCUGUCUGUGUCUUCAGGAGUCUCAUGGCCUGAACGACCACCUCGACCUGAUGCAGAGCCUUCUGAGGAGGGGCAACAGGAGGCAUUCUGUGGCCAGCCAAAAGGUACCCCGAUGGCCAAGCAAUUCCUCUGAACAAAAUGUAAAGCCAGCCAUGCAUUGUUAAUCAUCCAUCACUUCCCAUUUUAUGGAAUUGCUUUUAAAAUACAUUUGGCCUCUGCCCUUCAGAAGACUCGUUUUUAAGGUGAAAGCUCCUGUGUCUGUGUAUAUUACGAGCCUACAUGACACAGUUGGAUUUAUUCUGCCAAACCUGUGUAGGCAUUUUAUAAGCUACAUGUUCUAAUUUUUACCGAUGUUAAUUAUUUUGACAAAUAUUUCAUAUAUUUUCAUUGAAAUGCACAGAUCUGCUUGAUCAAUUCCCUUGAAUAGGGAAGUAACAUUUGCCUUAAAUUUUUUCGACCUCAUCUUUCUCCAUAUUGUCCCGCUCCCCUGUUUGACGACAGUGCAUUUGCCUUGUCACCUGUGAGCUGGAGAGAACCCAGAUGUUGUUUAUUGAAUCUACAACUCUGAAAGAGAAAUCAAUGAAGCAAGUACAAUGUUAACCCUAAAUUAAUAAAAGAGUUAACAUCCCAUGG